Molecule: ribosomal RNA, 296 nt
Filed under: uncultured Sphingomonadaceae bacterium
Lineage: Bacteria; Pseudomonadati; Pseudomonadota; Alphaproteobacteria; Sphingomonadales; Sphingomonadaceae
Description: partial 16S ribosomal RNA
Rfam family: Bacterial small subunit ribosomal RNA
Source: RNAcentral
UAACGCGUGGGAAUCUGCCCUUAGGUACGGAAUAACUCAGGGAAACUUGAGCUAAUACCGUAUAAUGACUCCGGUCCAAAGAUUUAUCGCCUGAGGAUGAGCCCGCGUCGGAUUAGCUAGUUGGUGAGGUAAGAGCUCACCAAGGCGACGAUCCGUAGCUGGUCUGAGAGGAUGAUCAGCCACACUGGGACUGAGACACGGCCCAGACUCCUACGGGAGGCAGCAGUGGGGAAUAUUGGACAAUGGGCGAAAGCCUGAUCCAGCAAUGCCGCGUUGUAUGAAGGCCUUAGGGUUGU